This 253-nucleotide ribosomal RNA is filed under the name uncultured bacterium. RNAcentral's name for it is "partial 16S ribosomal RNA". It matches the Rfam family "Bacterial small subunit ribosomal RNA", at positions 524 to 776 of the family's 1533-position model. The record is from RNAcentral.
UACGUAGGUGGCGAGCGUUGUCCGGAUUUACUGGGCGUAAAGGGAGCGUAGGCGGAUUUUUAAGUGAGAUGCGAAAUACUCGGGCUCAACUUGAGUGCUGCAUUUCAAACUGGAAGUCUAGAGUGCAGGAGAGGAGAAUGGAAUUCCUAGUGUAGCGGUGAAAUGCGUAGAGAUUAGGAAGAACACCAGUGGCGAAGGCGAUUCUCUGGACUGUAACUGACGCUGAGGCUCGAAAGCGUGGGGAGCAAACAGG